ACGAACGCUGGCGGCGUGCUUAACCCAUGCAAGUCGAACGGAAAGGCCCUGCUUUUGUGGGGUGCUCGAGUGGCGAACGGGUGAGUAACACGUGAGUAACCUGCCCUUGACUUUGGGAUAACUUCAGGAAACUGGGGCUAAUACCGGAUAGGAGCUCCUGCUGCAUGGUGGGGGUUGGAAAGUUUCGGCGGUUGGGGAUGGACUCGCGGCUUAUCAGCUUGUUGGUGGGGUAGUGGCUUACCAAGGCUUUGACGGGUAGCCGGCCUGAGAGGGUGACCGGCCACAUUGGGACUGAGAUACGGCCCAGACUCCUACGGGAGGCAGCAGUGGGGAAUAUUGCACAAUGGGCGGAAGCCUGAUGCAGCAACGCUGCGUGCGGGAUGACGGCCUUCGGGUUGUAAACCGCUUUCGCCUGUGACGAAGCGUGAGUGACGGUAAUGGGUAAAGAAGCACCGGCUAACUACGUG
RNAcentral lists this ribosomal RNA (467 nucleotides) under uncultured bacterium. Its description in RNAcentral is "partial 16S ribosomal RNA". It matches the Rfam family "Bacterial small subunit ribosomal RNA", at positions 29 to 507 of the family's 1533-position model. The record is from RNAcentral.